Molecule: RNA transcript, 1697 nt
Organism: Seriola dumerili (greater amberjack)
Lineage: Eukaryota; Metazoa; Chordata; Actinopteri; Carangiformes; Carangidae
Gene name: protein TsetseEP-like
Exons: 5
Source: RefSeq, a predicted model, not a curated record
UUAACACACACCGUCCUCCUCUCUGACGCACACACACUCUCCUGAAAACACACUUUAAACUUUUCAUUCAUUAAACCACCAUCAUGGAUCUGGACCCGACCGUCGUCAUUCCCGCCAUCCUUUUCACCGUCGUUGCCAUUUAUUUCGCUUCGUCGCUCCUCAGCAAGAAGCCCGACGCCUCCUCCUCCUCAGCCGGGAACAAGAAGCCUAAAGUCGGCUACGGAGACGACAUCCCUCCGUCCAGAGCUCUGGGAGAGCAGCUCCGACCCGAGCCUGAAGUCUCCCCGCGGCCAGAACCUCCGGCUCCGGCUGUGGAGGACAUCGGAGCCGCUGAGAAGAUCCAGGACGUCCCGGUCGCACAAGUGAAGGCUGUCCCAGAACCAGUAUCAGCACCAGAACCUGUCCAGGAACCAGUGUCAGAGCCAGAACCUGUUCCAGAACCAGCAAAAGUACCAGAACCUGUCACAGUACCAGAGACUGUUCCAGAACCAGUAUCAGCACCAGAACCAGUCCAGGAACCAGUAAAAGUACCAGAGACUGUUCCAGAACCAGUAUCAGAGCCAGAACCUGCCCCAGAACCAGUAAAAGUACUAGAGACUGUUCCAGAACCAGUAAAAGCACAAGAAGUAGCUGCAGUACCAGAACUUAUUCCAGAGCCAGAAACUGCACAGGAGCCAGUAUCAGUACCAGAACCAGUCCCAGAACCAGCUGCAGCCCCAGAACCAGUGUCAGCCCCAGAACCAGCCCCAGAACCAGUGUCAGCCCCAGAACCUGCCCCAGAACCAGCUGCAGUCCCAGAACCUGUAGCUGUGCCUGAUCCAGAUCCUGUGGUCCAGUCUGAACCGGUACCUGAAGCGGUCCCUGAGCCUGUGGCUGAACCAGAGAAGGUUGUGGAGGAGUCUUUACCCGAGCUGGUCCUUGGGUCGACAGAAGACCUGCCGGGCCCUGAACCUGCUGUAGAGGCCUCACCAGAACCUGAACCAGAACCUGAACCGGAGACCGUCCUCAACAACGACGUGGCUGCAGCUGAAGAUAAAGUGAAGUUCACUCCAGGAAAGAAACAGAGCAAGUUUGAGACGCUGAUGACCAAGGAGGAGAUCGAGGAGGAGCAGAGGGUAGAGCUUACCUCAGACUUUACCUCUCUGUAAUCCAGCUGAGACACAGUGUUAGGAAGCAGAUGGUAAGGUGAUGUUUCUACCUCCAGUCCUCCCCUCUGAUCAACCCGACCCCCCCACAGCUGAUCUGUGAAGACGAAGAGGAGGAGGAGGAGGAGUGAAGGACGAACCUGAAACCUUCAGCUAUGCAGUUUUGUAGGGAUUUAAAAACCUGCCUGUCUUUAUUUUACUUCACUUCUUUCAGGCCUGCAAACGUCUUUACACCAAAGUGCCUUCAGGAGUUUUUCUUUUUUUACAGUCUGCUUCUUAGUGUCGAAGAAUUUCAGGCGUCAAAGCUUGAAGUGGAGGAGGCGCUUUAAGAGAAACAGUGUGUGUGGUGAUUGUGAUGAACGGGUGGAGGAAGGGUCGUGUGACAGUGUUUAGCCUGUUCAGUGUGAUCCGACAGGAAGUUAACGACAAGCUCUCAGCCCUCGUGUUCCCUCUGCUGUUCCUGAAGAACCACAAAGUAAAACAAACGUCCCUUCAGGUGGAUUUUCUUCUGAGUUUGGUUUAAAUGUUGAAAUAAAUGAAAUAAAUGUGUGA